GAUUAAGGUGAGCUGGGAAAUAUUGCGAAUAAUCCCGUUGCUGUAAUAGACGACGUCUUUCAGUGUGGAAGACUAGCUGCUUGUUCUUCCCAGUGAGCACAAGACGUAAUUUUAACGUUGAAAUAUGGUUGAAAUUGGGUUGAAAUGAGGUCUGAACGUCUAAGACCUCGUUUCAACGUCUUUUCAACCGGGAUGAAACAUCAACGUGCCAGAAAACGUCAAUUUGUUGAUAAAUGUGUCAUGUUGUAACGUAAGGUUGAAAGAUAGACGAUAUUAACGUUAAUAUUUUCAUAAUAAUCUGUAACGCGCAUGCACGCGCAUGCACGACAGCGGAGCUCCGACCGGGUGAAGCACGAGGCGAAGUUACGGCAGCAGAGCGACAUGAACGGGCUGAUAGAACCACAACUACCGGCUCCAAUACUCUGUAAGUACGCGAGUGUUUGAAUGAAGCACACCUGGAACUAUAACCGGGUGUUUUACUUCUGCUGCCCACCCGAUACGGGAAAAACGGUCCUUUUUGUUAAGCUUAGCGGUAGCGGUAAGUAGCACUUAUUUUCUCAUUUGGUAAUUUCCUAAUUUAUGUGAUCAUUGUGGCCUUGGUUGCGUAUGCCAGUGCAGCUUUCUUUGGUUAAAAAAAUGUAACCGCGCCCCCUUUUACAUUGUUUAUUUUGAGCUGUUAAAAAUGUGUGAUAUGUCAGUUCUGCCCUUUUCAACUUAGAAAUGUGUAUAUUUCUGUGGCGCUUUAGUAAUGGGCACUGAGUAAUGAGAAAUAUUUAAGAGUGGUGUCAGUUUUUAUUUGUGAGAAUCAAGGUGUUAAAGAUAAAUGGUUAUUCUUGGUAUCCUCUGUAUUUUGGGUCUAGAGAAACUUUAUAAUGAAAAACAUUUAAGAAUUUACUGUAAAAAAUAUAGUGUGCUUUCCUGUAUAUUAUUAAGCAGCCGUCUUAUUUUUUAUCAACUACAAUACAUCGGUGGGAAAACAUUUCUCAUGAUAUCGGUCAUAUUGAAUAACUAUCCAAGUAUCCAAGUCCAUGAGCCCAAAACUCCUUUCUUAAAAACAAUUAACCUUUUCUGCUUUUGGUAGUUGAAACAAAGCCACAUAUUACA
This is a long non-coding RNA of Gasterosteus aculeatus aculeatus (three-spined stickleback), 1104 nucleotides long. The record is from Ensembl. NCBI's taxonomy places the organism in Eukaryota, Metazoa, Chordata, Actinopteri, Perciformes, Gasterosteidae.